This 497-nucleotide ribosomal RNA is filed under the name uncultured bacterium. RNAcentral's name for it is "partial 16S ribosomal RNA". It matches the Rfam family "Bacterial small subunit ribosomal RNA", at positions 28 to 507 of the family's 1533-position model. The record is from RNAcentral.
GAUGAACGCUGGCGGCGUGCCUAAUACAUGCAAGUCGAGCGAACAGACGAGGAGCUUGCUCCUCUGACGUUAGCGGCGGACGGGUGAGUAACACGUGGAUAACCUACCUAUAAGACUGGGUUAACUUCGGGAAACCGGAGCUAAUACCGGAUAAUAUAUUGAACCGCAUGGUUCAAUAGUGAAAGACGGUUUUGCUGUCACUUAUAGAUGGAUCCGCGCCGCAUUAGCUAGUUGGUAAGGUAACGGCUUACCAAGGCAACGAUGCGUAGCCGACCUGAGAGGGUGAUCGGCCACACUGGAGCUGAGACACGGUCCAGCCUCCUACGGGAGGCAGCAGUAGGGAAUCUUCCGCAAUGGGCGAAAGCCUGACGGAGCAACGCCGCGUGAGUGAUGAAGGUCUUCGGAUCGUAAAACUCUGUUAUUAGGGAAGAACAAAUGUGUAAGUAACUAUGCACGUCUUGACGGUACCUAAUCAGAAAGCCACGGCUAACUACGUG